Molecule: long non-coding RNA, 355 nt
Filed under: Lathyrus oleraceus (garden pea)
Lineage: Eukaryota; Viridiplantae; Streptophyta; Magnoliopsida; Fabales; Fabaceae
Description: Pisum sativum (pea) long non-coding RNA (PSAT_LNC033327)
Source: RNAcentral
GCAUUUUACUAUUCUUUGUGAUUUUUCAAAGUUGGAGAAAAUAUUUGAAAUAAUAAAAGAAAUAUGGAAAAUGAAAAUCAGCAUAGUGCAUCAGCCAGGAAUUGAACCCACGCUAGCAAGGUCCACAAGAGCGCUCAAAAUGAAAUAUCAGAAAGCGCAUGGCCAGGAUUCGAACACGCGCUCACAAGGAAAGAUGGAAUUCCAAAAUAAAUCAGCAAUCACACACACAUAGGGAUCGAACGCACGCCAUAAAGGAACAGAAGCGCUUGGCAAAACGCAGCGCAUCACUUAUGAAGUGGCAAGCCACGCAGCAGUCUUCGCACACGCAAGCGAAGUCAAACAAACUACAACCAAC